This 393-nucleotide ribosomal RNA is filed under the name uncultured bacterium. Its description in RNAcentral is "bacterial SSU rRNA". It matches the Rfam family "Bacterial small subunit ribosomal RNA", at positions 28 to 423 of the family's 1533-position model. The record is from RNAcentral.
GACGAACGCUGGCGGCGUGCUUAACACAUGCAAGUCGAGCGGUAAGGCCCUUUCGGGGGUACACGAGCGGCGAACGGGUGAGUAACACGGUGGGUGACCUGCCCUCAGCUCUGGGAUAAGCCUGGGAAACCGGGUCUAAUACUGGAUAUGACUCCAUGACGCAUGUUGUGGGGUGGAAAGCCUUGUGCGGCUGAGGAUGGGCCCGCGGCCUAUCAGCUUGUUGGUGGGGUGAUGGCCUACCAAGGCGACGACGGGUAGCCGGCCUGAGAGGGCGACCGGCCACACUGGGACUGAGACACGGCCCAGACUCCUACGGGAGGCAGCAGUGGGGAAUCUUGCGCAAUGGGCGAAAGCCUGACGCAGCGACGCCGCGUGAGGGAUGACGGCCUCGGU